UACGUAGGGGGCAAGCGUUGUCCGGAAUCAUUGGGCGUAAAGCGCGUGUAGGCGGGUCGGUAAGUCCGCUCUGAAAGCCCGGGGCUCAACCCCGGGAGGCGGGUGGAUACUGUCGAGCUCGAGUCCGGAAGAGGCGAGUGGAAUUCCUGGUGUAGCGGUGAAAUGCGCAGAUAUCAGGAGGAACACCAAUGGCGAAGGCAGCUCGCUGGGACGGUACUGACGCUGAGACGCGAAAGCGUGGGGAGCGAACAGG
Molecule: ribosomal RNA, 253 nt
Filed under: uncultured bacterium
Lineage: Bacteria
Description: partial 16S ribosomal RNA
Rfam family: Bacterial small subunit ribosomal RNA
Source: RNAcentral